CUGGAUCAUAGGUUAUGGGUAUGUUUUUGGCUUUUGUAGAUGCUACCACACAGUUUUACAAAGUGGUUGUAGCAGUUCACACUCCCACCAGCAUGGUGAUGCUAGCUACUACAUGAUGCUUCCUACACGUGCUCUACUAGGCAGUGUGUUAUUUAAUCUUCAUAGCAGUCCACUUUUUGGAUGAGGAAACUGAGGUUGAAGAUUUGCCAAGGUGACGCAAGGUGUUUUUAUUCUCAACCUUGUGUGCCGAGACUUGGGGCUAAAAGACUCAGUGCUGGCUGGGCUCAAGGCAGUGUUCCCCCUCCUAUAUGUCCGGCGAAUUGAGGGUGAAGUGAAUGAGAUCCUGUUCUGUCAGCUGCACCCUGAGCAAAAACUUGCCACACCAGAGCUCCUAGAAACAGCCCAGGCUUUGGAGCGGACCCUGAGGAAGCCUGGGAGGGGUUGGGAUGACACGUAUGUCUUGUCAGAUAUGCUCAAGACGGUGAAAAUUGUGUGACUGCUUAGGCCAAGCAGCCCUCCUGCCUAGACUGACCUUGGACUCCCAGCCUGCCAGAGAAUGAAGAAAUACAACGCACAGUACUUUUGAAGCUUCGUAUUUUUCUUGGUUUCACACUCAGCUACAUGUGACCUCCAGCUUGGUGAGGUUGCCUGAAGAUUAGGGAAAAUAAAAAUGUCCUUCCCAUCUUGUCCUCUUCAGUACCACUUGGGUUGGUUUGUCUUUGCUUCCUACACCACGUCCUUGAGUGGAGUUCCCUGCUGAAGCCCCUAGCACACACUGCAUGCCUUAACAAGUGUGUGCAAGCCCCUCAGAACUCAAGACAUCCAAAUUUUAUUGCGUCUCUACUUAUACUGGUUUGCUUUUGAUUUAUUCCUCUAUUAGUUCUAUAGGAGUGAUCUCAAGUGAGAUAGCAGAGCAAGAUGCCAAAAGACCAUAAAUAGAGUAAGGUUUCUAUAGAUGUGAGACAGAUUUGAGAGAGCAUUUACUCUGUCUCCCUGUGGAUGAAACUGCUGCUGAAAUGGUUCCAAUUUUUAGGAAUCUGCUUACCCACUUCAUUAUUUGACAGCUUUCCUUGGUGACCCAAACCUUGUAGCCUAAGCCAUUUGUCUUUUUCUCAGUGGAGGGAGUGUAUGGACCUGGCCCCAUGGCUUUGCAUGUUAGAGACCUGGCAGACUAAAGUCUCUAGUGUUUGUUUGCUCACAUUUGCUGAGUGACAGCUAUGUGCCAGACUGCAUAAAGGGUGGUGGCAGAAGUGAAAAUGUUUAAGAAUGACCAAAAACAUUAGUAAUGAAAGUUAAUGUGUUCCAGGCAUUCUUCUAAGUGGUUUACAUGCACUGUCUCAUUUAAUCUGAGAUAAAGGAUACUUAAGCCCAAACUAUAUCUAAACCCAAAUCUCACUUGGCUGGAAACAUCAAUCUUAACCAUUUAUUCAGAACCAU
Molecule: long non-coding RNA, 1437 nt
Filed under: Homo sapiens (human)
Lineage: Eukaryota; Metazoa; Chordata; Mammalia; Primates; Hominidae
Description: HSALNT0017498
Source: RNAcentral